GAUGCCAUCCCACCUGCUCUGCUGCAGGACUCUGGAUAAUCGCACCUGAUCGCCGUUGGCAGGCAGCCACUGGAAACCACUAGCAGCACACUCAGAAACUGCACCAAAAGUGUGCAUGCAGCAUGGUGGUACUCAGACACCGCAUAUCCACACCAGAGAAGGCUUUAAUGGGAAUAUUUCAAAGAUGUGAAGAAGAAAUGACACUGACAUGUACCAGAGUGCAAUUCAAAGCUUAGGAGAUGAAGUUGCCUUUCAACAUAUAUGUCUUAAAGCACCAAAAGAGCUUAGGUGUCUGACUCAGCCUUCUGGAUCUGCAGUGCUAAUGGAAAGGACUUGAUCUGAAGCAUGCUGGAGUAGGUGAAAGAGGAGAGCAAUAGCUGCAGUGCCAUCCCAUGGUUUUCAAGAGGAUGCUGCCUCCAGGAGAGCUGGGUUGGAUCACAUGGGGAAGCAUAGUAAC
Centrocercus urophasianus (Greater sage-grouse) is the source of this 457-nucleotide long non-coding RNA. RefSeq lists it as uncharacterized. NCBI's taxonomy places the organism in Eukaryota, Metazoa, Chordata, Aves, Galliformes, Phasianidae. The record is from RefSeq and is a predicted model, not a curated record. The transcript is spliced from 4 exons.